AAUCAACGCUGGCGGCGUGCCUCAGACAUGCAAGUCGAACGAUUAAAGCUCUCUUCGGAGAGUGCAUAGAGUGGCGCACGGGUGAGUAACACGUAAGUAAUCUACCUUCGAGUGGGGAAUAACGUCCGGAAACGGACGCUAAUACCGCAUAAUGCAGCGGCAUCGUAAGAUGACAGUUGUUAAAGAUUUAUCGCUUGAAGAGGAGCUUGCGGCAGAUUAGCUAGUUGGUAAGGUAACGGCUUACCAAGGCUACGAUCUGUAACCGGUCUUAGAGGACGGUCGGUCACACUGACACUGAAUAACGGGUCAGACUCCUACGGAGGCAGCAGUCGGGAAUUUUGGGCAAUGGGCGAAAGCCUGACCCAGCAACGCCGCGUGAAGGAUGAAGUAUUCGGUAUGUAAACUUCGAAAGAAUAGGAAGAAUAAAUGACGGUACUAUUUAUAAGGUCCGGCUAACUACGUGCCAGCAGCCGCGGUAAU
This 480-nucleotide ribosomal RNA is filed under the name uncultured bacterium. Its description in RNAcentral is "bacterial SSU rRNA". It matches the Rfam family "Bacterial small subunit ribosomal RNA", at positions 32 to 524 of the family's 1533-position model. The record is from RNAcentral.